CGGAUGUUAGCGGCGGACGGGUGAGUAACACGUGGGUAACCUGCCUGUAAGACUGGGAUAACUCCGGGAAACCGGAGCUAAUACCGGAUAGUUCCUUGAACCGCAUGGUUCAAGGAUGAAAGACGGUUUCGGCUGUCACUUACAGAUGGACCCGCGGCGCAUUAGCUAGUUGGUGGGGUAAUGGCUCACCAAGGCGACGAUGCGUAGCCGACCUGAGAGGGUGAUCGGCCACACUGGGACUGAGACACGGCCCAGACUCCUACGGGAGGCAGCAGUAGGGAAUCUUCCGCAAUGGACGAAAGUCUGACGGAGCAACGCCGCGUGAGUGAUGAAGGUUUUCGGAUCGUAAAGCUCUGUUGUUAGGGAAGAACAAGUGCGAGAGUAACUGCUCGCACCUUGACGGUACCUAACCAGAAAGCCACGGCUAACUACGUGCCAGCAGCCGCGGUAAUACGUAGGUGGCAAGCGUUGUCCGGAAUUAUUGGGCGUAAAGGGCUCGCAGGCGGUUUCUUAAGUCUGAUGUGAAAGCCCCCGGCUCAACCGGGGAGGGUCAUUGGAAACUGGGAAACUUGAGUGCAGAAGAGGAGAGUGGAAUUCCACGUGUAGCGGUGAAAUGCGUAGAGAUGUGGAGGAACACCAGUGGCGAAGGCGACUCUCUGGUCUGUAACUGACGCUGAGGAGCGAAAGCGUGGGGAGCGAACAGGAUUAGAUACCCUGGUAGUCCACGCCGUAAACGAUGAGUGCUAAGUGUUAGGGGGUUUCC
This 763-nucleotide ribosomal RNA is filed under the name Bacillus zhangzhouensis. Its description in RNAcentral is "bacterial SSU rRNA". It matches the Rfam family "Bacterial small subunit ribosomal RNA", at positions 86 to 835 of the family's 1533-position model. The record is from RNAcentral. Lineage: Bacteria; Bacillati; Bacillota; Bacilli; Caryophanales; Bacillaceae.